GGCGAGUGAACCGGGAAGAGCUCAAAUUUGAAAUCUGGCGUCCUCAGGGCGUCCGAGUUGUAAUCUAUAGAGGCGUUUUCCGUGCCGGACCGUGUCCAAGUUCCUUGGAACAGGAUAUCAAAGAGGGUGACAAUCCCGUACUUGACACGACGACCGGUGCUCUGUGAUACGUCUUCUACGAGUCGAGUUGUUUGGGAAUGCAGCUCAAAAUGGGUGGUGAGUUCCAUCUAAAGCUAAAUAUUGGCGAGAGACCGAUAGCGAACAAGUACCGUGAGGGAAAGAUGAAAAGCACUUUGGAAAGAGAGUUAAACAGUACGUGAAAUUGUUGAAAGGGAAACGAUUGAAGUCAGUCGUGACCGAGAGGCUCAGCCGGUUCUGCCGGUGUAUUCCCCUCGGUCGGGUCAACAUCAGUUUUGUCCGGUGGAUAAGGGCGGUAGGAAGGUGGCACCCUCGGGUGUGUUAUAGCCUGCCGUCGCAUACAUCGGGUGAGACUGAGGAACGCAGCUCGCCUUUAUGGCCGGGGUUCGCCCACGUCCGAGCUUAGGAUGUUGACAUAAUGGCUUUAAACGACCCGUCUUGA
This 580-nucleotide ribosomal RNA is filed under the name Papiliotrema laurentii. RNAcentral describes it as "partial large subunit ribosomal RNA". It matches the Rfam family "Eukaryotic large subunit ribosomal RNA", at positions 88 to 657 of the family's 3401-position model. Lineage: Eukaryota; Fungi; Basidiomycota; Tremellomycetes; Tremellales; Rhynchogastremaceae. The record is from RNAcentral.